This 255-nucleotide ribosomal RNA is filed under the name uncultured bacterium. RNAcentral's name for it is "partial 16S ribosomal RNA". It matches the Rfam family "Bacterial small subunit ribosomal RNA", at positions 524 to 777 of the family's 1533-position model. The record is from RNAcentral.
UACGAAGGGGGCUAGCGUUGCUCGGAAUCACUGGGCGUAAAGCGCACGUAGGCGGACUCUUAAGUCGGGGGUGAAAUCCUGGAGCUCAACUCCAGAACUGCCUUCGAUACUGGAGAGCUCGAGUCCGGGAGAGGUGGAGUGGAACUGCGAGUGUAGAGGUGAAAUUCGUAGAUAUUCGCAAGAACACCAGUGGCGAAGGCGGCUCACUGGCCCGGUACUGACGCUGAGGUGCGAAAGCGUGGGGAGCGAGUCCGG